RNAcentral lists this small RNA (881 nucleotides) under Arabidopsis thaliana (thale cress). Its description in RNAcentral is "ATSL029510". The record is from RNAcentral. Lineage: Eukaryota; Viridiplantae; Streptophyta; Magnoliopsida; Brassicales; Brassicaceae.
AUAUGAAAACAAAAUUAUUAUGGAUGUUAUAAAAGAUUAAAUUAAGAAAGAAGAAUGAAGACCAUAGAGAAUAAAACUCGAAAUAAGAGUUUUUUUAUUGUUUUCUCUUUCUCUACUCUUUUUUCUCUGUUUUCUCUGUAACUUACAAAUGAAUGAAAUGAGCUAUAUAUAGUAGAGCUUACUUAGCUAGGAAGUAAAUUACUUAGCGAAAAAGUAAUGGAUAAACAUCAUCCAUAUCUUAGAGAAGAAGUAAUGGAUAAACAUCAUCCAUAUCUUAAGGAUGAAGUAAUGGAUAAACAUCAUUCAUAUCUUAGGGAAGAAGUAAUGGAUAAACAUCAUCUACAUCUUAUGGAUAGAGAUGAGUGAUGGAUAAUCACAUCCAUACUUAUCAAGUUUAUAACACUCCCCCUUGAGUAUCCAUCACUUUUGAUGAGUUACGUAUUGCCUCGUUAAAAACCUUAUCAUGGAAAAAUCCAUUGGGAUAAAAACCAUGACAAGGGAAAAAGAGUACAGUGACGUGAACUCCCCCUCGAAGGGACUUCACAGGUUUCGUAGAUGACGCAUUCCAAUGCUUUGAACAUGAUUUUUAAAUGUAGAAGUUGGAAGCGCCUUUGUGAAUAGAUCUGCUGCAUUGUCACUUGAACGAAUGUAUUGCACCUCUACUUCCUUGUUCUUCUCGAGUUCUUGAGUGUAAGAGAAGAAUCGUGGAGGGAUAUGCUUCGUUCUGUCGCUCUUGAUAUAACCUUCUUUGAUUUGAGCAACACAUGCAGCAUUAUCUUCAUAUAUUCUUGUUGGCUCUCUUUUGAUGACUAAUCCACUUGCUUCUUGAAUAUGAUUAGUCAUGGAUCUAAGCCAAACACAUUCUCUAGAUGCUUCAUGAA